GAUUAAGUUAUUAAGGGCGCACGGUGGAUGCCUUGGCACUAGAAGCCGAUGAAGGACGUUACUAACGACGAUAUGCUUUGGGGAGCUGUAAGUAAGCUUUGAUCCAGAGAUUUCCGAAUGGGGAAACCCAGCAUGAGUUAUGUCAUGUUAUCGAUAUGUGAAUACAUAGCAUAUCAGAAGGCACACCCGGAGAACUGAAACAUCUUAGUACCCGGAGGAAGAGAAAGAAAAUUCGAUUCCCUUAGUAGCGGCGAGCGAAACGGGAAGAGCCCAAACCAACAAGCUUGCUUGUUGGGGUUGUAGGACACUCUGUACGGAGUUACAAAGGACGACAUUAGACGAAUCAUCUGGAAAGAUGAAUCAAAGAAGGUAAUAAUCCUGUAGUCGAAAAUGUUGUCUCUCUUGAGUGGAUCCUGAGUACGACGGAGCACGUGAAAUUCCGUCGGAAUCUGGGAGGACCAUCUCCUAAGGCUAAAUACUCUCUAGUGACCGAUAGUGAACCAGUACCGUGAGGGAAAGGUGAAAAGCACCCCGGAAGGGGAGUGAAAUAGAACCUGAAACCGUGUGCUUACAAG
Molecule: ribosomal RNA, 575 nt
Filed under: Staphylococcus aureus
Lineage: Bacteria; Bacillati; Bacillota; Bacilli; Caryophanales; Staphylococcaceae
Description: partial 23S ribosomal RNA
Rfam family: Bacterial large subunit ribosomal RNA
Source: RNAcentral